AGAGUUUGAUCCUGGCUCAGGACGAACGCUGGCGGCGUGCUUAACACAUGCAAGUCGAGCGGAAAGGCCCUUCGGGGUACUCGAGCGGCGAACGGGUGAGUAACACGUGAGCAAUCUGCCCUUAGCUUCGGGAUAGCUCCGGGAAACCGGAAUUAAUACCGGAUAUGACUAUGACCGACAUCGGUCAUGGUGGAAAGUUUUUCGGCUAGGGAUGAGCUCGCGGCCUAUCAGCUAGUUGGUGGGGUAACGGCCUACCAAGGCGACGACGGGUAGCCGGCCUGAGAGGGCGACCGGCCACACUGGGACUGAGACACGGCCCAGACUCCUACGGGAGGCAGCAGUGGGGAAUAUUGCGCAAUGGGCGAAAGCCUGACGCAGCGACGCCGCGUGGGGGAUGAAGGCCUUCGGGUUGUAAACCCCUUUCAGCAGGGACGAAGCGAGAGUGACGGUACCUGCAGAAGAAGCGCCGGCUAACUACGUGCCAGCAGCCGCGGUAACACGUAGGGCGCAAGCGUUGUCCGGAAUUAUUGGGCGUAAAGAGCUCGUAGGCGGUCUGCCACGUCCGCUGUGAAAACCUAGGGCUUAACCCUGGGCUUGCAGUAGAUACGGGCAGACUAGAGGUAGGUAGGGGAGAAUGGAAUUCCCGGUGUAGCGGUGAAAUGCGCAGAUAUCGGGAGGAACACCGGUGGCGAAGGCGGUUCUCUGGGCCUUACCUGACGCUGAGGAGCGAAAGCGUGGGGAGCAAACAGGAUUAGAUACCCCGGUAGUCC
Molecule: ribosomal RNA, 770 nt
Filed under: uncultured bacterium
Lineage: Bacteria
Description: bacterial SSU rRNA
Rfam family: Bacterial small subunit ribosomal RNA
Source: RNAcentral